GUGGAGGAAAGGUCAAGGUUUUGUCUAGAGUGUGGUAAGAUGCUGAACAGUUUUAUCCUAGAAACUAUUUACAUUGUUUUGUGUUUGUUUCUUGAAAUCUAUGUGGGAUGACAUCGAGUACCAUUAAGGUGGACUUUGGGAAGUUUGAUAGCAAGGGUAACUCUAGCCUUUCAUAGCAAAGGAUGAAGGAUCUAUUGGUAC
RNAcentral lists this long non-coding RNA (201 nucleotides) under Elaeis guineensis (African oil palm). RNAcentral's name for it is "long non-coding RNA (EGUI_LNC044886)". Lineage: Eukaryota; Viridiplantae; Streptophyta; Magnoliopsida; Arecales; Arecaceae. The record is from RNAcentral.